Gossypium raimondii (Peruvian cotton) is the source of this 72-nucleotide non-coding RNA. The record is from Rfam. Lineage: Eukaryota; Viridiplantae; Streptophyta; Magnoliopsida; Malvales; Malvaceae.
UAGGGUGUGGCCAGGUGGUAAGGCAACGGGUUUUGGUCCUGUUAUGUGGAGGUUCGAAUCCUUCCGUCCCAC